Molecule: ribosomal RNA, 253 nt
Filed under: uncultured bacterium
Lineage: Bacteria
Description: partial 16S ribosomal RNA
Rfam family: Bacterial small subunit ribosomal RNA
Source: RNAcentral
UACGUAGGGGCCAAGCGUUGUCCGGAUUUAUUGGGCGUAAAGGGCGCGUAGGCGGCCAACUAAGUCAGACGUGAAAUCCCCAGGCUCAACCUGGGAACUGCGUCUGAUACUGGAUGGCUUGAAUCCGGGAGAGGGAUGCAGAAUUCCAGGUGUAGCGGUGAAAUGCGUAGAUAUCUGGAGGAAUACCGGUGGCGAAGGCGGCAUCCUGGACCGGCAUUGACGCUGAGGAGCGAAAGCCAGGGGAGCAAACGGG